AAGAGUAUGCAUAAUAUUUGUAGAAGGAUAAUAUACUUUUGACAACAUUAUUUUUUACAAUAUUUUAACCUCAUUUAUGUAUUAUUAUAUGAUUGGUCUAUAUUAAAUUUUUUGAUUAUUUUUAUUGAUUUUGAAGUCAUUUUAAACCAAUAACAUGAUACACUCAUGAUGUUAAAAUAUUGUAAAAAAAUUGUUAAGAAAGUAUCAUUAUCCUUA
This 216-nucleotide long non-coding RNA is filed under the name Vigna radiata. Its description in RNAcentral is "long non-coding RNA (VRAD_LNC010926)". Lineage: Eukaryota; Viridiplantae; Streptophyta; Magnoliopsida; Fabales; Fabaceae. The record is from RNAcentral.